RNAcentral lists this ribosomal RNA (277 nucleotides) under uncultured prokaryote. RNAcentral's name for it is "partial 16S ribosomal RNA". It matches the Rfam family "Bacterial small subunit ribosomal RNA", at positions 524 to 800 of the family's 1533-position model. The record is from RNAcentral.
UACGUAGGGAGCGAGCGUUAUCCGGAUUUACUGGGUGUAAAGGGUGCGCAGGCGGCCUGGUAAGUCAGAAGUGAAAUUUCGGGGCUCAACCCCGGAGCUGCUUCUGAAACUGCUAGGCUAGAGUGUGGGAGAGGAAAGUGGAAUUCCGAGUGUAGCGGUGAAAUGCGUAGAGAUUCGGAGGAACACCAGUAGCGAAGGCGGCUUUCUGGACCAUAACUGACGCUCGGGCACGAAAGCGUGGGGAGCAAACAGGAUUAGAUACCCCGGUAGUCCCUGA